This is a long non-coding RNA of Molossus molossus (Pallas's mastiff bat), 385 nucleotides long. RefSeq lists it as uncharacterized. The transcript has 4 exons. NCBI's taxonomy places the organism in Eukaryota, Metazoa, Chordata, Mammalia, Chiroptera, Molossidae. The record is from RefSeq and is a predicted model, not a curated record.
GAUGAGGAACCUGGGUACAGGGAGUCCCUGUGGUUACCUGGAGGGAUGGCCAUACGGACUUAUAGCCCAGACAGCCCCUCUUUCAGAGGUGAGGAGGAUCCCGGGCCCUGGAAACCUCUAGCUAGUAGCUUCUAGCUGUGGAUCCUGCUCUCUGCCUUGUUCUUUACCCUCAAGGGUACAAAUGAGUGAAUCUCCCGUUGUGUUAUUUCAAGACAGGCUGAGACUCCUGAGCUCAGAAGCCCGGGGAUGCCAAAUUCCAACUUUUACACAUCUGAUUAUUUUAAAAGUACCCCAAAUAAGCACACGCUCGUGAGUAUCACCAGUGUGCUCUUCUUUCUAGUCUCACUAAGUUUGGUGGUCACCGAAGCCUUGGAACAUGUGUGAG